Molecule: long non-coding RNA, 4661 nt
Filed under: Sus scrofa (pig)
Lineage: Eukaryota; Metazoa; Chordata; Mammalia; Artiodactyla; Suidae
Description: lncRNA (ENSSSCG00055030339.1)
Source: RNAcentral
GUGACAAUGAUGGAUCCUUAGUUUGCUGUGCCACAAGGGAACUCCCUGUUCUGUUUGGUUUCUGACAGGGCUAUCAGUACAGAUUUCCAGAGAAUGAGAGCUUGGAGUAACCUGCUGGUACAAUAUACGGUAUCAUUCCUUCUACUCGGUUAGUUCCCCACCAAUAAUCCUGGCCAUCCAUUAGGCAGAAGCUAAGUGUGGUUAAUGUCAGCAAAUGAACUGACUGGCAUAGAAAUCAAAAUUCACCAGGGAGAAGGGCAAAACCGCUAACAUAUUUUCAGUUGUAACCAGAUCAAACUGUAAGUGCCUAAUAAUAGAGGUAGAUAAAGAAGUAAGAUCUCCUUUGGAAACAGCUCUGUUCCAGAAUUUCACAGAAAAAUAUUAUAAUGAAACAUGAUGUACAUGGGACCAUAACAAUAGAUGUUCUACUAACCAGAGUUAAAUUACACAUACACACCCACCCCCACAGACACAUACACAUGCAAAAGGUAAAGGACAGUCAGUAUAUUGGGCCAGAAAGUUGUCUGAUAUUGGACUAAAGACAUGGUUGCUUAGGGCAAGGAUUCCACAUUCAUACCUUUUGACUAGCAAACACGGUGUGUGAAGCAUGGCUAGAAGUAGAAAAACGUGAUCUGAAUUCCAGUUCUGCCACCUGAUAGCUGCAUGAGUGGGUAAAUUACGAAGUGACUCUGCUCUCAGCUUCUUCAUAUAUCAAGAGGAGAGAAUUAUUCCUGCUUCUUAGGAAUGUCAUGCAAAAAGCACUUGGCACAUAGCAGGUGAUCAGUACAGAGAGUACCUUUCUCAUUCCUACUUUGCACACCCCGGAGCACCAAGUACACAUAUGAGGGCAUUAUCUAUGUUCAACAAUUUUCUGUCUUCAUGCUUUGAAUUUUUUGUUCUCAUUUCUUCAAAUGGGUUAUGAGUUUCCUGAAAGGUUCAAGAUCUUACCUUCCACACAUCCUUUGUCAGGAAGCUAUGGGCAUACAGAGUCCACCAAAAGGAGUUAGUCAAUAAAUACACCAACAGAGAAACAUAAGGGAUGCAGAAACAGGGGAUCUGACAAAGGAAAGACAGAAAGGAGAGGUGGUGGGAGGGCCUAUGACGAUGCUGUGUCAGCAGGCUUAGACUGCUGUGGGCACAGGCGGCUUCUGGGGAGACAUAUCUGGGAAAAGAAACGGAGCAAAGAGUGACCUGACAGGAGUUAGAGGGAAGAAAAUGCACUGGGGUGCUUUGCAGAGCUCUUGGAUGGUAUGACAAGACUGAGCCAGAGAUUCAAAGCAACUUCACACAUGAAGGAAAAGUUGGACACUUCACUCCUGGAGAGGAAUUAUAAAUACUGAUUGUCUUAGCUGGAAACAUCAUUUCCUCAUGAGGCUGAAAACACAGAUAGGGCCUUAAGCAAAAUCUUGACAUGAUCAUAAGGUGGCAAAGGGGAGGGGGAGGAAGGGUUGGAAAUGGAAUAAAAAUCACCAUCCAUUAUACUAAGAAGUAGGAGAGGGAGUUCCCGUUGUGGUUCAGUGGGUUAAGAACCUGACAUAGUCUCAGUAAAAAUGCAGGCUCGAUUCCUGGCCUCGAUUAGUGGGUUAAGGAUCCAGCGUUGCCGUGAGCUGUACUGUAGGUCACAGACGCGGCUCGGAUCUGGCGUUGCUGUGGCUGUGGUGUAGGCCGGCGGCUACAGCUCUGAUUCAGCCCCUAGGGCUGGGAACCUCCAUAUGCCGCGGGUACGAUCAUAAAAAGCAAACAAGAAAGAAGUAGGAAAUACUGACUAAAAUUAAUAAAUCAAGAAGUAGUCGGUAUGGAUAAACUUAGAAACAUGAUAGUAAAUACCAGAAGCAGCAACUCAAAAUGAUAACAAUAGUUUCCUCUAGAGACUAAGGGUGAGGGAAGGGGUGCCAGAGAAUGAAUUUUGCAUUUUAGCGCUGCUUAUCUUUUUAAAUUAUGUGCAUGUGUUAUUUUGAUAAAAAUAAAAAGUUUUUAAAAUGAGGACAGUAAUUGCAUUUUAUACUCAUAAAAUUCAGAAUAAUAGAGUGAAAUUGUAACAAAGGACGUAAACAAGGCCUGAUUACUCAAGGCAAAAAAAAAUACUCAGCAACAAACUUGUUUCCAGAACUCACAUGCUGUAUUUCUCAUUCCCAUGACGUUCCUAUCACACAGCCUAUCAGUUUAUUAUAUUUCUUAUGGCAGCUAGCAUGACUUUCUCUAUACAGAAGGUGCUUAAAUAUUUGUUGGAUGACAAACUUUACCAAUUGCUGAAUUUUUUCAGGGCAAUUUUUUUGUUUGUUUGUUUUGUUUUUUAGGGCCACACCUGCAGCCUAUGGAAGUGCCCAGGCUAGGGGUCGAAUAGGAGCUGCAGCUGCCAGUGUACACCACAGCCACAGCAAUGACAGAUCUGAGCCAUGUCUGCAACCUACACCACAGCUCACGGCAAUGCCAGAUCCUUAGUCCACUGAGCAAGGCCAGGGAUCGAACCUGCAUCCUCAUGGAUCCUAGUUAGGAUCGUUAACCACUGAGCCACAAAGGAAACUCCCUCAUGGCAAAUUUUAAUGAGCUUGGUCUGGAGAGCAGAGGGGUCACAGCUGAAGUUUAUAGUUCUGUUUUAUAUGGAGGGAGAAGAUUAUAGCUUAAAUGGUUUUGAAAAGGUCUCCCUGAAAUCUGAUGCUGAGGUAGACAUUCCACAGGUCUAAUCCACUUUAUACAAUGCAGGAGUUUGCCAGAGACUUAUUCUAGACAACUGAUACUUGAGUGAGCCCGUCUAAUGGGAAUUUUAAUUAUGCAUUCCUAUAUGGUCUCUAAACUCUGCUCUUGGGAUAAGCUAGAACUCUUUGGUGUGUAAUCUCUGCCCUGAAGGAACCUGUGUUCUGAGGAGGUGUUGCUGUGGCUGUGGUGUAGGCCAGCAGUCCCCUGAAGCAGGAAGGGGAUGAAAGCAGUAUCCUUGCUAAAACAGGGUGUGAAAACCAUUGGACAGAGUUUCAGAAAACACUAUAUCCGUACCACACUGUCUCAGCUUCCUGGGGAAAAGUAUUCACUGAAUUAAAAUCUAGUAUUUUGGCCUCAGAUUUGAUCUGAGAAUGCAAAUUAAUAACAGAAACAUCAAGGUAAAUAGUGUCAUAGUGUCUUUGCAAAAUUUCCAAUGGAAGACGUCCCUCACGUUACCUAAUUCCCUCAGUGAUAGAUGUACCUUUGAAUUCAUUUCCAGGAAAAAUUUUGCUUCUGCUGAUGAACCUGCACACUUUCUUUUAUAUUAAAAAAAAAAUAGCUCUAUGUCCCCACAAUUUCUUUUUCCCUUAGUUACCUGAAAACUCUGAGUUAAAUGAGAGUCCAGUUUUGGAAAUUACCCAUUGCAAGUGGCGACUAAUAUUUAAUUUGGAUUGUUUUAAUGGAUUUGGUUCUGAGGGUCCUUAUUUUGCAAAGAGAAGCAGGCCAGCACUUAUAAAUUGCCUGCCAGGUGCAGGCCUUGUAUUUGUUGUAUAUCUUAUGGGUUAUUUCAUGGAAUGUGUUUAAGAGUCCUGCAAAAUAGGUGUUUUUAUUUUCAGUUUACAGAUAACGCAGCUUAGUUUUAGGGAAUAAGUAACUUGUCCAACGCUAUAUGGUCCUUAAGAUGUUUACCACAUUUUUAGAAAUAAGCAAUGUAUAAAUUCUCAAUAGUGUACAUCUUAUACUCAGAUUGAUAUCAGAAAUUAUCAAACCUAUAUCCCUUUUUUGCUGAAGUAUAAUUGAUUUACAAUGUUGUGUUAGUUUCAGGUGUACAGCAAAGUGAUAUGUAUAUCACUUUUUUUUCAGAUUCUUUUCCCUUAUAGGUUUUUCACAAAAUAUUGAGUAUAUUUCUCUCAAUGCAUGCAAUGAGAGAUGCAAAGUGCUUCAUGAGUUCAGAGGGGGAAGGGAAAUUCCAGGGUCCCAACUCUCCAGGAAUUCAGAAUUCACUGGACCAAGCAGAUACCUAAAUGAGAGUACAAUACAAUGUAAGAACUAUACUGAAAGCAUGUGCACUAUGUUAUAUGCCCUAGAGGAGGAAGAAACAGAUUUUGCCUGUUUCCCAGGUUGAGGAGGAGUGAUUAAGCAACAUGGGCAGUAAGAGAAGGGGAUGAAGAGGGCCAGGGGCUGGGGUUCCAGAACACCUCAAACCUAUCUAAGCAGGCAAGUGCUGCAGCCGGGGGAGGAAGGGUCUUAAGUGGGCAAAAGACAAUCACAGGGAGGAGAGCUGGUCCUAUGAAGUGGAACCUCAGGGAGGGACUAGAUCUACAAUGCUGGGGGGAGACCCAGCAAAGCCACAGAGAUAAUUGGAACCCCAGCCACUGGCCUCAGCCCUAAAGAGUGUGGAGCAAGGCAGGAUCUCUUAGACACACUGUCCAGCCCCUUACUGGGAGAGACAAAGGAGCAUUUCAGUAACAUGCAGUGAGCACUGCAUGUGAGCAGGUGGGCAGUGGACUUGGAGAAGAGGAAGACGUAUAGAUGGUCAUCUGUGGUCUCCAGAGCAGCACCUGGGAAGGUGGCCCAAGGUGGAAAGAGAAGAAUUACACUGACACAAAGGUCCUGAGCCUGGUAACUGGGAGAUGGGUUCACAGGGGCAGGAGGGCUGAUGGGAAGUUAUUUUGGAAGGAUGCUAGGGGCUUGAGCAUGCCUGAAGACAGAGAGGAGAGAGUGAAGACAUGAGAUCAAACUAC